ACUUCUAUGAUGGAACUGGUAGACAUGCUAGACUUAAAAUCUAGUCCUUCGGGGUCCCGGUUCGAUUCCGGGUAGAAGUA
RNAcentral lists this transfer RNA (80 nucleotides) under Bakuella subtropica. RNAcentral's name for it is "tRNA-Leu". It matches the Rfam family "tRNA". Rfam says of the family: Transfer RNA (tRNA) molecules are approximately 80 nucleotides in length. Their secondary structure includes four short double-helical elements and three loops (D, anti-codon, and T loops). Further hydrogen bonds mediate the characteristic L-shaped molecular structure. tRNAs have two regions of fundamental functional importance: the anti-codon, which is responsible for specific mRNA codon recognition, and the 3' end, to which the tRNAs corresponding amino acid is attached (by aminoacyl-tRNA synthetases). tRNAs cope with the degeneracy of the genetic code in two manners: having more than one tRNA (with a specific anti-codon) for a particular amino acid; and 'wobble' base-pairing, i.e. permitting non-standard base-pairing at the 3rd anti-codon position. The record is from RNAcentral. Lineage: Eukaryota; Ciliophora; Spirotrichea; Urostylida; Bakuellidae.